This 1342-nucleotide ribosomal RNA is filed under the name uncultured bacterium. RNAcentral's name for it is "bacterial SSU rRNA". It matches the Rfam family "Bacterial small subunit ribosomal RNA", at positions 28 to 1381 of the family's 1533-position model. The record is from RNAcentral.
GACGAACGCCGGCGGCGUGCUUAACACAUGCAAGUCGAACGAUGAUGCCCAGCUUGCUGGGUGGAUUAGUGGCGAACGGGUGAGUAACACGUGAGUAACCUGCCCCUGACUCUGGGAUAAGCGUUGGAAACGACGUCUAAUACUGGAUAUGAUCACUGGCCGCAUGGUCUGGUGGUGGAAAGAUUUUUUGGUUGGGGAUGGACUCGCGGCCUAUCAGCUUGUUGGUGAGGUAAUGGCUCACCAAGGCGACGACGGGUAGCCGGCCUGAGAGGGUGACCGGCCACACUGGGACUGAGACACGGCCCAGACUCCUACGGGAGGCAGCAGUGGGGAAUAUUGCACAAUGGGCGAAAGCCUGAUGCAGCAACGCCGCGUGAGGGAUGACGGCCUUCGGGUUGUAAACCUCUUUUAGUAGGGAAGAAGCGAAAGUGACGGUACCUGCAGAAAAAGCACCGGCUAACUACGUGCCAGCAGCCGCGGUAAUACGUAGGGUGCAAGCGUUGUCCGGAAUUAUUGGGCGUAAAGAGCUCGUAGGCGGUUUGUCGCGUCUGCUGUGAAAUCCCGAGGCUCAACCUCGGGCUUGCAGUGGGUACGGGCAGACUAGAGUGCGGUAGGGGAGAUUGGAAUUCCUGGUGUAGCGGUGGAAUGCGCAGAUAUCAGGAGGAACACCGAUGGCGAAGGCAGAUCUCUGGGCCGUAACUGACGCUGAGGAGCGAAAGCAUGGGGAGCGAACAGGAUUAGAUACCCUGGUAGUCCAUGCCGUAAACGUUGGGCGCUAGAUGUAGGGACCUUUCCACGGUUUCUGUGUCGUAGCUAACGCAUUAAGCGCCCCGCCUGGGGAGUACGGCCGCAAGGCUAAAACUCAAAGGAAUUGACGGGGGCCCGCACAAGCGGCGGAGCAUGCGGAUUAAUUCGAUGCAACGCGAAGAACCUUACCAAGGCUUGACAUACACCGGAAACGGCCAGAGAUGGUCGCCCCCUUGUGGUCGGUGUACAGGUGGUGCAUGGUUGUCGUCAGCUCGUGUCGUGAGAUGUUGGGUUAAGUCCCGCAACGAGCGCAACCCUCGUUCUAUGUUGCCAGCGGGUUAUGCCGGGGACUCAUAGGAGACUGCCGGGGUCAACUCGGAGGAAGGUGGGGAUGACGUCAAAUCAUCAUGCCCCUUAUGUCUUGGGCUUCACGCAUGCUACAAUGGCCGGUACAAAGGGCUGCGAUACCGUAAGGUGGAGCGAAUCCCAAAAAGCCGGUCUCAGUUCGGAUUGGGGUCUGCAACUCGACCUCAUGAAGUCGGAGUCGCUAGUAAUCGCAGAUCAGCAACGCUGCGGUGAAUACGUUCCCGGGCCU